This 834-nucleotide ribosomal RNA is filed under the name Triticum aestivum (bread wheat). RNAcentral's name for it is "partial small subunit ribosomal RNA". Lineage: Eukaryota; Viridiplantae; Streptophyta; Magnoliopsida; Poales; Poaceae. The record is from RNAcentral.
AUGAGGGAUGAGCCCAUGGACGAAGAGAUCGUGCGCUGGGCCUGCGGCGGCGAUGAGCGCGUGGAGGAGCUCCGCCUCGACUGCAAAGAUGGCGCCUGGCCGCCAUUCACGUCGUGUGCCUUGUUCCUGGAGUUGUGCUCGCUGCCGCUGGACUCGCUGCCGUUCGUGGCACUGCGAAUCCUCGAUCUCAGGGGCUGCAUACUCGAGCCCCUCAACUCCUUGUCCAGAUUGGAUCCACCCCGGGGCGUCGCGUUCCCAUGUCUGGAGGCGCUGCGGCUGCGGCUGUGCAUCAUGAAACUCGGCACGCUCCAGGACAUGGUCCACGCCGCGCCUAAGCUCGCCGACCUGCGGCUCGAGUCGCUGAGGUUCCUGGACCGGUCGCCUUCGGGUUCACCCGCCACCCGGUGGCUCCCUCUCCGAUGCCCGGCGGCCAGCGUGGUCGCCGUGACCAACAUGGCCACCCGUGACACCGAUGCGUGCAGCCUCGAGCUCGACGCGCCGUGCCUGCGCCGCUUCCGCUACACCCAGAUCGUGCCGUUCGACGCCUCAGUCUCCUUCAAGUCGCCCUCGCCCGGCCUGGAACGUGUCCACCUGGAGGCCCACUCUGCCGCGUCUCUGCGCUCGGUCCACUUUUGCGGCGGCGUGUGCCACGCUAGGUCCCUCAAGCUGACGGUCUACUCCAUCGCCGACAUCGACGGCGUCCACUUGCCAAUGUUCCCCAACCUGGAGCACCUCGGAAUAGAAGAGCUGUGCGGUUGGUGUCUCGACAGCCACGGGGCUGCGGCCAACGCAAUUCUGAACCUGCUACGUUCCUCCCCGGUGAUCUCCGGCUGA